AGUGAACUUUAAACUCAAUGAGUCACAUUUCCUCUUUAGUAUUUGUGUUUCUGUAAGUUGCCUUUGCUUGACAUACAUUUGGUGAUUUGGAUUUUGUACUUAUAUAUUUUCUCAUAGAACAGCUUUGAGUGUUAGAAUGUCUUUCCUAAUACUGAGUUGGAGUUGUCUCUCUGGUGUUGUGUCCACUAGCCCAGUUUUAUUCAUGAGAGGCAAUUCCCUUGUCUCAAAUAGACUGUAGACAAUACACACUGUUGGGUAAAUGACUUAUUCAAGCCCAGGACAUGGGGUUCUCUGUGUUGUGGCAUUGCCUCCUGCAGCAGAGUAAGCCUUUAACUCCUGACUUGAAGAAUAAACUUGGUGCCAGGUUCAAAGCUGCAUUGCCAGAAAUUCUAUGAGCCAAGAUGAAGUAGGGCAGUCGCUGCUCAUAAAGACUACCCUGCUUGAUUACAGGGGUUUACGAUUUCCUGCAUUUCUUUCUUACUUAAUCCUUAAGCGAAAUGCAGGAUAAGGAUUCAUGAUUACUCAUGAAUUUUUCACACAACCAGAUUAUUCAAUAGCAAUUUUAGUAAUAGCUCCAAUUUCUAAAAUAUUUCUUUUCUUUCUUUAGUUCUUAACUAAUGCAAAAAUUAAAAACUGGCCAAGUUGGACUUUAUUCCUCCUUUUUCUAUCCCCCAUUUAAAUCUCUCUACCCUUCCUGUGCUAAGCCAUAGGUGAUCUUACCCUUCAGGCUACCCUGUGCAGUAUAUCUCUAUGCCUCAGGCCAUACAUUGCCUCUUCCCUCAUUCAAGUUUUGAUAACAGAGUUCUCUCAGCAGCUGGUUUUAUCCAAUGUGACCAUGGCUGCUAAUAGGUUCUGGUCUCCUUAGUAAAUCUUUCAUAAUGUAUAGAUAGCCCUUGUUUUGUCUGCCUGCCUCUGCACCAUUAUUUUAAAAUUCUGUUAAAUACGUGUUUCCAGGUGGCCCUUAGGUAAUGGUUUUAUAGUGAGGGGUGGGAGAGGAUAGGCAUCAUGAUAAGAUCAUGGAUAAGAAAACUGCUUUGGUCUGUGGGUCCCUUAACACAACUUCACAUCACACAUCUCCCUCAUUAUAUAACACUAGUACUGUUCUCUGUUAAUAACAAUAAUAAUCAGUCUUAUUACAUGUGAUUAUUAUAUCUAUGUACUAUGUUCCAGGUACCAUACCUAGGGCUUAACAGAUUUCUAAUUCAACAUAACAAUCCUGUGAUGUAGGAAGAAUUCUUCUUAUUUUACAGAUGAGCAAACUGAAGUUCAGAGAGGUUGGAUAAUUGGUUUAGUAUCACAUAACUUCUUCGUUGGAAAGACAGGGUUCAAAGUGAGAGGGGAACAGAUCCAGCAACAUUUUGGCUCAUGAACAUGGCACGGUUUAAUAGGAGCCAGGUGACUGAGACAUCUCUGUGCUAUUUCUGAGAAAGCAAGCUGGUCCAUCACCUUUAAUGCAGGAGAAAUGAAGUUUCCUUCCAGCAUUAGCCCUGGUCUUUUGGUCAUGGCAGCACAAAGCUGACUGAAACAACAGAGAAGAACAAGAGACAGACUGAAUCCACCCUCAGAUAUAGCUCAAAGACAAGGAGAGAUUCAUAGAAUUAAGUAAUUGUGGCAUAGUGCACUUCUAGGAGCCACGAGAAGCAACACCUAACCAGCCUGCAGGCAUCUGGGAAAGCCUCCUGGGGGAGGUGUCCUCUGAGCUGGGCUCUGCAGCAGAAUCAGGAGUUAGUCUCCAGAAAUUUGUAUUUACAUAAUAUCCCUCUGCUGUGUAACACGAGAAGAGACUAAACAACUAAGUGGAUAUUAUGUGUGGGGAUGGAGACAUUGGGGUGGUAAGUAAAGAAUGAGAACCUAAAUAUUUAAACUGGAAUAUUCAAGAGAGAGUACAGGCCAGUGCAGGCUCUGGCUUCAGUUGACAGAGGUUGGAUCUCUGCCACUUCCUAGGUGUAUGAACCUGAGUAAGUUGCUUAGCAUUUGUCAGAUCCAGAACCUCACAGGGUCUUUAGGCUUCAAUGAAAGAAUAU
Molecule: long non-coding RNA, 2024 nt
Organism: Marmota monax (woodchuck)
Lineage: Eukaryota; Metazoa; Chordata; Mammalia; Rodentia; Sciuridae
Exons: 3
Source: RefSeq, a predicted model, not a curated record